UUUAAAAUGAGAGUUUGAUCCUGGCUCAGGACGAACGCUGGCGGCGUGCCUAAUACAUGCAAGUCGAACGAAACUUUCUUACACCGAAUGCUUGCAUUCACCGUAAGAAGUUGAGUGGCGGACGGGUGAGUAACACGUGGGUAACCUGCCUAAAAGAAGGGGAUAACACUUGGAAACAGGUGCUAAUACCGUAUAUCUCUAAGGAUCGCAUGAUC
RNAcentral lists this ribosomal RNA (215 nucleotides) under Ligilactobacillus salivarius. Its description in RNAcentral is "Lactobacillus salivarius partial 16S ribosomal RNA". It matches the Rfam family "Bacterial small subunit ribosomal RNA", at positions 1 to 195 of the family's 1533-position model. The record is from RNAcentral. Lineage: Bacteria; Bacillati; Bacillota; Bacilli; Lactobacillales; Lactobacillaceae.